RNAcentral lists this ribosomal RNA (261 nucleotides) under uncultured bacterium. RNAcentral's name for it is "partial 16S ribosomal RNA". It matches the Rfam family "Bacterial small subunit ribosomal RNA", at positions 1240 to 1500 of the family's 1533-position model. The record is from RNAcentral.
CAACGAGUCGCAAGACCGCGAGGUUUAGCAAAUCUCUUAAAGCCGUUCUCAGUUCGGAUUGUAGGCUGCAACUCGCCUACAUGAAGUCGGAAUCGCUAGUAAUCGCGAAUCAGAAUGUCGCGGUGAAUACGUUCCCGGGUCUUGUACACACCGCCCGUCACACCACGAGAGUUUACAACACCCGAAGUCAGUGGCCUAACCGCAAGGAGGGAGCUGCCUAAGGUGGGGUAGAUGAUUGGGGUGAAGUCGUAACAAGGUAAC